RNAcentral lists this transfer RNA (92 nucleotides) under Trichodelitschia bisporula. It matches the Rfam family "tRNA". From Rfam's summary of the family: Transfer RNA (tRNA) molecules are approximately 80 nucleotides in length. The record is from Rfam by way of RNAcentral. Lineage: Eukaryota; Fungi; Ascomycota; Dothideomycetes; Phaeotrichales; Phaeotrichaceae.
UCCUCCGUGGCGCAAUUGGCUAGCGCGUCUGACUGUUAUCCUCUGCGAGGAUCGUAAUCAGGAGGUUCCUGGUUCAAGCCCAGGCGGGGGAG